RNAcentral lists this long non-coding RNA (892 nucleotides) under Homo sapiens (human). RNAcentral's name for it is "non-protein coding lnc-PHC2-4:2". The record is from RNAcentral. Lineage: Eukaryota; Metazoa; Chordata; Mammalia; Primates; Hominidae.
GAGCGGCCAGGUGGAGGAGGAGCGCGGAGGCGACCGCAGCAUCUGCCUGCCCUUCUGCCAUCCGAGCGCCCUGACUGCGCCACACUGCAGGCCAUGGAGAAUGAGCUGCCAGUCCCACAUACAUCUAGCAGUGCCUGUGCCACCAGCAGUACCAGCGGGGCCAGUAGCAGCAGUGGCUGCAACAACAGCAGCAGUGGUGGAAGUGGCCGCCCCACCGGGCCCCAGAUUUCUGUGUACAGUGGUAUUCCAGACCGGCAGACCGUGCAGGUGAUCCAGCAGGCCCUGCACAGACAGCCCAGCACGGCCGCUCAGUACCUGCAGCAGAUGUACGCCGCCCAGCAGCAGCACCUCAUGCUGCAGACCGCGGCGCUCCAGCAGCAGCACCUCAGCAGCGCCCAGCUCCAGAGCCUGGCAGCCGUACAGCAGGCAAGCCUGGUAUCCAAUAGACAAGGAAGCACUUCAGGCAGCAAUGUGUCUGCGCAGGCCCCGGCCCAGUCAUCUUCGAUCAACCUGGCAGCCUCCCCAGCAGCAGCCCAGCUCCUCAACCGGGCCCAGAGUGUGAACUCUGCAGCAGCCUCAGGCAUCGCUCAGCAGGCUGUGCUCUUGGGCAACACGUCUUCCCCAGCCCUGACUGCAAGCCAAGCACAGAUGUAUCUGAGGGCACAGAUGCUCAUCUUCACGCCCACGGCCACCGUCGCUACUGUGCAGCCUGAGCUCGGCACUGGCUCCCCCGCCCGGCCCCCCACCCCCGCCCAGGUACAGAACUUGACCCUCCGAACACAGCAGACACCAGCGGCAGCAGCCUCGGGCCCCACCCCCACUCAGCCUGUCCUGCCCAGCUUGGCCCUGAAACCCACGCCGGGCGGUAGCCAGCCUCUGCCUACCCCAGCAC